This is a small nuclear RNA of Otolemur garnettii (small-eared galago), 62 nucleotides long. Its record names the gene U7. It matches the Rfam family "U7 small nuclear RNA". From Rfam's summary of the family: Animal histone pre-mRNAs are spliced by a different mechanism than nuclear pre-mRNAs and self-splicing introns. This processing involves the U7 snRNP, which contains only one RNA species: U7. The record is from Ensembl. Lineage: Eukaryota; Metazoa; Chordata; Mammalia; Primates; Galagidae.
UAGUGUUAUAGCUUUUUCAGAAUUUGUCUAGCAAAUUUUCUGGUCUCCACUGGAAUACCCCU